UACGGAGGGAGCUAGCGUUGUUCGGAAUUACUGGGCGUAAAGCGCGCGUAGGCGGCUCAUUAAGUCAGAGGUGAAAUCCCGGGGCUCAACCCGGGACUUCCUUUGAAACUGGCGAGCUAGAAUCCUGGAGAGGUGAGUGGAAUUCCGAGUGUAGAGGUGAAAUUCGUAGAUAUUCGGAAGAACACCAGUGGCGAAGGCGGCUCACUGGCCCGUAUCUGACGCUCAGGCGCGACAGCGUGGGGAGCAAACAGG
RNAcentral lists this ribosomal RNA (252 nucleotides) under uncultured bacterium. Its description in RNAcentral is "partial 16S ribosomal RNA". It matches the Rfam family "Bacterial small subunit ribosomal RNA", at positions 524 to 776 of the family's 1533-position model. The record is from RNAcentral.